UACGGAGGGUGCGAGCGUUAAUCGGAAUUACUGGGCGUAAAGGGCACGCAGGCGGUCUUUUAAGUCAGAUGUGAAAGCCCCGGGCUUAACCUGGGAAUAGCAUCUGAAACUGGUAGUCUAGAGUCCUGUAGAGGGGGGUAGAAUUCCAUGUGUAGCGGUGAAAUGCGUAGAGAUGUGGAGGAAUACCGGUGGCGAAGGCGGCCCCCUGGACAAGGACUGACGCUCAGGUGCGAAAGCGUGGGGAGCAAACAGG
This 253-nucleotide ribosomal RNA is filed under the name uncultured bacterium. RNAcentral's name for it is "partial 16S ribosomal RNA". It matches the Rfam family "Bacterial small subunit ribosomal RNA", at positions 524 to 776 of the family's 1533-position model. The record is from RNAcentral.